CCGUCAGCUGAUUGUCAACAACAGUACUUGUUUCAGUUAAUUUAACAAGACAAACAAUACCAAGGAGCUAUGAAUCAAUGAAUACUCGAGGAUGUACUACAGCAGUAUUACAAGGUACAUGUAUGGGCAGAGGAGUUGACUAUUGAUAAUGACUGAUACUGGAAUUAAUGAAGUAACCUACAUGUAGUGUCCAAUCUCUAUGUGGAGAUUGCCUAUCAGACAGUCCAUUUUUACAUGUACCAAAAAAUAAUUAGCUCCCCAGAUGUAAGUGGAAGUGAAGUUAUACAUGUUAUAUGUUUCGAUGAAAUGAAUGACUUGAUUAGAGAUACAUGUAGUGGAGACCCUAUAGAUACAGUACAUGUAACUGGAACUGUAGGAAGUAUUCAAAGAGUCUGAUUGCUAAGUAUGCAUUACAGGAUUUUAUCAUUGGAGCAACAUCUUGGGAGGAGAAGUGCAAAUGUAUGAAGGAAUCCUUGGGUAGAAAUAGCAAUUAUAUGCAGAAGAAGACUCUUAAACAUUAUUAACAGACAUGUAGUCAUAGUAGUGGUGUUUUCAAGAAAUGUAAACCAACUGGAAUUAACAAUUGUGUAUAUUUUUUCAACCACAAGUACUUUCAGAAUAUAAUACAAUUCAAAUUCAAAUUAUUGUGUCAACAUACAAGUUACAGUAAAAAAAUGAAAAUG
Molecule: long non-coding RNA, 683 nt
Organism: Mytilus californianus (California mussel)
Lineage: Eukaryota; Metazoa; Mollusca; Bivalvia; Mytilida; Mytilidae
Exons: 4
Source: RefSeq, a predicted model, not a curated record